GACGAACGCUGGCGGCGUGCUUAACACAUGCAAGUCGAACGGAAAGGCCCUGCUUUUGUGGGGUGCUCGAGUGGCGAACGGGUGAGUAACACGUGAGUAACCUGCCCUUGACUUUGGGAUAACUUCAGGAAACUGGGGCUAAUACCGGAUAGGAGCUCCUGCUGCAUGGUGGGGGUUGGAAAGUUUCGGCGGUUGGGGAUGGACUCGCGGCUUAUCAGCUUGUUGGUGGGGUAGUGGCUUACCAAGGCCUUGACGGGUAGCCGGCCUGAGAGGGUGACCGGCCACAUUGGGACUGAGAUACGGCCCAGACUCCUACGGGAGGCAGCAGUGGGGAAUAUUGCACAAUGGGCGGAAGCCUGAUGCAGCAACGCCGCGUGCGGGAUGACGGCCUUCGGGUUGUAAACCGCUUUCGCCUGUGACGAAGCGUGAGUGACGGUAAUGGGUGAAGAAGCACCGGCUAACUACGUG
This 468-nucleotide ribosomal RNA is filed under the name uncultured bacterium. RNAcentral describes it as "partial 16S ribosomal RNA". It matches the Rfam family "Bacterial small subunit ribosomal RNA", at positions 28 to 507 of the family's 1533-position model. The record is from RNAcentral.